AAAUUGAAGAGUUUGAUCAUGGCUCAGAUUGAACGCUGGCGGCAGGCCUAACACAUGCAAGUCGAACGGUAACAGGAAGCAGCUUGCUGCUUUGCUGAC
RNAcentral lists this ribosomal RNA (99 nucleotides) under Escherichia coli. RNAcentral describes it as "partial 16S ribosomal RNA". It matches the Rfam family "Bacterial small subunit ribosomal RNA", at positions 1 to 96 of the family's 1533-position model. RNAcentral also lists the same sequence under 8 other names. The record is from RNAcentral. Lineage: Bacteria; Pseudomonadati; Pseudomonadota; Gammaproteobacteria; Enterobacterales; Enterobacteriaceae.